This 70-nucleotide transfer RNA is filed under the name Galaxias platei. Its description in RNAcentral is "tRNA-Arg". It matches the Rfam family "tRNA". Rfam says of the family: Transfer RNA (tRNA) molecules are approximately 80 nucleotides in length. Lineage: Eukaryota; Metazoa; Chordata; Actinopteri; Galaxiiformes; Galaxiidae. The record is from RNAcentral.
GGGCCGUUAGUCCAAAAUAAGACCUCUGACUUCGGCUCAGAUAACCGUGGUUUAACUCCACGACUGCCUU